Molecule: long non-coding RNA, 731 nt
Filed under: Equus caballus (horse)
Lineage: Eukaryota; Metazoa; Chordata; Mammalia; Perissodactyla; Equidae
Description: lncRNA (ENSECAG00000057717.1)
Source: RNAcentral
AAUCCUUCUAAAUAUCUUGCCAGUUUUCAGCUGGGGUACACAGUAAAUAUUUCUGGCAAUGUUAAACAACUCCAUGAACCCAAGAGGUGUUCUCAAAGGUUAAUACCUUCUCAAGAUCCAGAGUCACUCCCAAAGACAGCCAAAAGAAAGAACUGACAGCCCGCGUGUCCUAGGCAGGCAGAAAGCCAAGCCAAGCCCUUAGGACACAAAAUGAGACGAGCAAGAAGGCAAUAGCGAUCCCUGGGAGAGAAAGGGAUCUUCUGAAAAUGGACGAAAGAAAGGCUUUAUAAUUCAAAAGAUCUGUGGUCCCAGGGACACGAAUUCCUUGUGUGGGCGUCUAGGACACAGCCACAAUAGACACUGCACAGGAAGACCUGAAGCUGGCAGAGCCUUAUUCCAGAGUCCAGCAAAGCAAGUCCUACCGCCUUUUCCAGCUCUGUUGGAAUUUGUGAACUCUUGUUAAUUAGCCUCCUCAGCUGCUUGCCUACCAUGGAUUUACUCUCCCUUCUCAGAAGCAGACACAUUCCUGAAGAUUUGCGCAACCUGACCACAGAAACGUCACACUUCAAGCCCAGGUAACUAGAGGCAACCAAAUAGUGUCCAGUCAGCCAAUGGCCACUGAGCAACCAAGGGAGCCCAGAACCCUGUACGAGGCAACUGUGAUAUAUAUGGAAGAAAAGAGCAGCCCAAGCCUCCUGACUGUGUCUGGGUCACUGUCCUCAAAAAGUCCG